Molecule: long non-coding RNA, 340 nt
Filed under: Mytilus galloprovincialis (Mediterranean mussel)
Lineage: Eukaryota; Metazoa; Mollusca; Bivalvia; Mytilida; Mytilidae
Source: RNAcentral
ACUUCAAUGUAGAUAGCUGUUUGGAAUAAAUAAUUGAAACAUCAUUGUAUUUUAUUCACCAGCGCCAGGCCUCGAAAGUACAAGUGUCCGAGAUGAGGGACACGCCAGAAGAAGGCAUAACAUAGACCUGAACAUGAGCGAGCUAGUAUUACCCAGAUUCUCCGAAAGAAGCUAGAAUCCCCGAUAUAUAGUGUUAUUAACGUUUUGGAGGGAAAGGGGAGACAAACUGACAGAACAGCGAUUCUUCCCCCUUUUCCUGCAUUACAGAUGGUGGAGCAAGAGGAAAGAUUCUUGGUACCUCAAAACUCAAAAACCGGCGUUUAGUGAACUAAAAUUGCAA